GACGAACGCUGGCGGCGUGCUUAACACAUGCAAGUCGAACGGAAAGGCCCUGCUUGCAGGGUCCUCGAGUGGCGAACGGGUGAGUAACACGUGGGUGAUCUGCCCUGCACUUCGGGAUAAGCCUGGGAAACUGGGUCUAAUACCGGAUAGGAGCCAUUUUUAGUGUGAUGGUUGGAAAGUUUUUUCGGUGUAGGAUGAGCUCGCGGCCUAUCAGCUUGUUGGUGGGGUAAUGGCCUACCAAGGCGGCGACGGGUAGCCGGCCUGAGAGGGUGGACGGCCACAUUGGGACUGAGAGACGGCCCAGACUCCGACGGGAGGCAGCAGUGGGGAAUAUUGCACAAUGGGCGCAAGCCUGAUGCAGCGACGCCGCGUGGGGGAUGACGGCCUUCGGGUUGAAAACUCCUUUCGCUAGGGACGAAGCUUUUUGUGACGGUACCUAGAGAAGAAGCACCGGCUAACUACGUG
RNAcentral lists this ribosomal RNA (465 nucleotides) under uncultured bacterium. Its description in RNAcentral is "partial 16S ribosomal RNA". It matches the Rfam family "Bacterial small subunit ribosomal RNA", at positions 28 to 507 of the family's 1533-position model. The record is from RNAcentral.